This 776-nucleotide ribosomal RNA is filed under the name uncultured bacterium. RNAcentral's name for it is "bacterial SSU rRNA". It matches the Rfam family "Bacterial small subunit ribosomal RNA", at positions 558 to 1334 of the family's 1533-position model. The record is from RNAcentral.
GCGUAAAGAGCUUGUAGGCGGUUUGUCGCGUCUGCUGUGAAAAUCCGGGGCUCAACCCCGGACUUGCAGUGGGUACGGGCAGACUAGAGUAUGGUAGGGGAGACUGGAAUUCCUGGUGUAGCGGUGAAAUGCGCAGAUAUCAGGAGGAACACCGAUGGCGAAGGCAGGUCUCUGGGCCAUUACUGACGCUGAGAAGCGAAAGCAUGGGGAGCGAACAGGAUUAGAUACCCUGGUAGUCCAUGCCGUAAACGUUGGGCGCUAGGUGUGGGACUCAUUCCACGAGUUCCGUGCCGCAGCUAACGCAUUAAGCGCCCCGCCUGGGGAGUACGGCCGCAAGGCUAAAACUCAAAGGAAUUGACGGGGGCCCGCACAAGCGGCGGAGCAUGCGGAUUAAUUCGAUGCAACGCGAAGAACCUCACCAAGGCUUGACAUAUACCGGAAACACCUAGAGAUAGGUGCCCCUUUUGGUCGGUAUACAGGUGGUGCAUGGUUGUCGUCAGCUCGUGUCGUGAGAUGUUGGGUUAAGUCCCGCAACGAGCGCAACCCUCGUUCUAUGUUGCCAGCACGUAAUGGUGGGGACUCAUAGAAGACUGCCGGGGUCAACUCGGAGGAAGGUGGGGAUGACGUCAAAUCAUCAUGCCCCUUAUGUCUUGGGCUUCACGCAUGCUACAAUGGCCGGUACAAAGGGCUGCGAUACCGCAAGGUGGAGCGAAUCCCAAAAAACCGGUCUCAGUUCGGAUUGGGGUCUGCAACUCGACCCCAUGAAGUCGGAGUCG